This 26-nucleotide non-coding RNA is filed under the name Mus musculus (house mouse). RNAcentral also lists the same sequence under 1 other name. The record is from RNAcentral. Lineage: Eukaryota; Metazoa; Chordata; Mammalia; Rodentia; Muridae.
UGUUCACUUUCCCUGAAGAUUCUGGA